UGCAUAGAAAAGCAGAGGUGAAGGAUAUAAUUACAGACGUAAUUAAUAACAUGUCUGAUGAGGAAGAUGAAGAAGAAGCCGAGAACGAUGAUGAUGAUGAUGCGGAUAAAGAUGAUGAUGGUGAUGAUGAUGACGCUUGAUUUUAGUUGGUCAAAUAAUAUUUGACCUGUGCAGAAAUUAGAGGCAUGUGGGCAUCUAAUAGCUAGAUUUUAUCUUCAUAAUUCUCCGGUCAGCUGUCACUGCGGAUAAGUUAAGGUAGAUAUUUGGUUUGAGUUGUGACCUUUUCCAUUACAGAUGCUCUAAAUUAGGUUUGUAUUUUGUACCAUAGAUUUAACCCGCUCCUCUGUAUUACUGAUGUGACCUCUAUUUCUCAUAUUGAAUAGUUUGUUUUUUCGCUGGCCUGUAAACAUUAUUGCCUCCUAAUUUAGAUAAUUGUUCUUUCUUUUAUUUGUUAAAAC
This 458-nucleotide long non-coding RNA is filed under the name Phaseolus vulgaris (common bean). RNAcentral describes it as "long non-coding RNA (PVUL_LNC001218)". Lineage: Eukaryota; Viridiplantae; Streptophyta; Magnoliopsida; Fabales; Fabaceae. The record is from RNAcentral.